AACGUAGGGGGCAAGCGUUGUCCGGAAUCAUUGGGCGUAAAGCGCGCGUAGGCGGCCCGGUAAGUCCGUUGUGAAAGUCAAAGGCUCAACCUUUGAACGCCGAUGGAUACUGCCGGGCUAGAGUCCGGAAGAGGCGAGUGGAAUUCCUGGUGUAGCGGUGGAAUGCGCAGAUAUCAGGAGGAACACCAAUAGCGAAGGCAGCUCGCUGGGACGGUACUGACGCUGAGGCGCGAAAGCGUGGGGAGCGAACAGG
RNAcentral lists this ribosomal RNA (253 nucleotides) under uncultured bacterium. RNAcentral's name for it is "partial 16S ribosomal RNA". It matches the Rfam family "Bacterial small subunit ribosomal RNA", at positions 524 to 776 of the family's 1533-position model. The record is from RNAcentral.